UUGCUAACCCUAGAAUUCUACGCUUUUUCUCCAGCGAAGCUCCUAAGAAGAAGAAUUAUGAGAACUUCUAUCCCAAGGAAAAGAAGGAAGUCCCGAAAGGGAAUGAGCAGAAAUCUGAAUCCAAAGAUGAUUCAAAUGCGGAUGAUGACUGGAACUUUCAGAAAACAUUCAUUAAGCAAUUCAAUUUACUUACCCCUUUACUAGUGAUUGGGAUACUUCUUUCUUCUUUCUCUUUUGGUCCUACUGAACAGCAACAGAUUAGUUUCCAAGAAUUCAAAAACAAGCUUCUGGAACCAGGUUUGGUUGACCAUAUAGUUGUUUCCAAUAAAUCAGUUGCUAAAGUGUAUGUAAGGAGCUCACCUCAGAAUCAAACUAGUGACGAUGUUGUGCAAGGUCCCAUUAAUGGUGCCCCUGCUAGAGGACAUGGGGGCCAAUAUAAAUACUACUUCAAUAUUGGAAGUGUUGAAUCUUUUGAGGAGAAGUUAGAGGAAGCCCAAGAAGCACUAGGGAUAGAUCCUCAUGACCAUGUUCCUGUUACGUAUGUAUCUGAAAUGGUUUGGUACCAAGAAUUAAUGAGGUUUGCACCAACACUCUUGCUUUUGGGAACCCUUAUGUACAUGGGACGGAGAAUGCAAGGUGGAUUAGGUGUUGGUGGUGGUGGUGGUAAGGGUGGUCGUGGAAUAUUCAACAUAGGGAAGGCCCAUGUAACCAAAGUGGAUAAAAAUGCUAAAAAUAAGGUUUACUUUAAAGAUGUUGCUGGUUGUGAUGAGGCAAAACAAGAAAUCAUGGAGUUUGUGCACUUCCUCAAGAACCCAAAGAAGUACGAGGAAUUGGGAGCUAAAAUUCCUAAAGGUGCCCUUUUGGUAGGUCCUCCAGGGACUGGAAAGACCCUUCUAGCAAAGGCAACUGCAGGAGAAUCUGGCGUGCCUUUCCUGUCCAUUUCUGGUUCAGAUUUCAUGGAGAUGUUUGUUGGCGUUGGACCUUCUAGAGUGAGAAAUUUGUUUCAAGAAGCAAGGCAGUGUGCUCCUAGUAUUAUAUUUAUUGACGAGAUUGAUGCAAUUGGCAGAGCGAGGGGGCGUGGGGGCUUCUCAGGUUCCAAUGAUGAGCGGGAAAGCACCCUUAAUCAGUUGUUGGUAGAAAUGGAUGGCUUUGGAACUACUUCUGGUGUUGUUGUUCUUGCUGGCACUAAUAGGCCAGACAUUUUAGACAAGGCUUUGUUGAGGCCGGGCCGAUUUGAUCGCCAAAUUUCCAUUGAUAAACCUGAUAUUAAAGGCCGUGAACAGAUUUUUAAUAUCUACUUGAAAAAAAUAAAACUCGAUCAUGAGCCAUCAUAUUACUCUCAAAGGCUUGCAGCCCUCACUCCUGGAUUUGCUGGGGCAGAUAUUGCAAAUGUAUGUAAUGAAGCUGCUCUAAUUGCUGCUAGGAAUGAAGGGUCACAGAUCACAAUGGAACAUUUUGAGGCAGCAAUAGAUAGAAUCAUUGGUGGUUUGGAGAAGAAGAACAAGGUAAUUAGCAAGCAGGAACGCCGGACUGUUGCUUAUCAUGAAUCAGGCCAUGCUGUUACUGGAUGGUUCUUGGAACACGCAGAACCCCUUUUGAAAGUGACAAUUGUUCUAUCACGUGGUACUGCUGCACUUGGAUUUGCGCAAUAUGUUCCUAAUGAAAACCUUCUUUUGACCAAGGAGCAGCUUUUUGAUAUGACAUGCAUGACCCUUGGUGGUCGGGCAGCUGAGCAGGUUUUGUUGGGGAAAAUCUCAACAGGAGCUCAAAAUGACCUGGAGAAGGUAACAAAGAUGACCUAUGCCCAAGUAGCAGUGUACGGCUUCAGUGACAAGGUGGGUCUCCUGUCCUUCCCUCAAAGGGAAGAUACAUUUGAGAUGUCCAAGCCCUACAGCAGCAAGACUGGGGCACUUAUUGAUAGUGAAGUGCGAGAGUGGGUGGGCAAGGCGUAUGAACGGACAGUCCAACUUGUAGAAGAACACAAAGAGCAAGUGGCUGAGAUUGCUGAGUUGUUGCUUGAAAAGGAGGUUCUUCAUCAAGAUGAUCUGGUUCGAGUUUUGGGUGAACGACCAUUCAAAUCAAGUGAAGUUACAAACUAUGACAGAUUUAAGGAAGGCUUUAAAGAGGAAGAGAAGGGUGCAGAAAUUCCCGUUAGCGGUAAUGAGGAGGAUGACAUUUCACCCGUACAGGUUGCCCCUGCAUAACUUUGGAGACAUUUGAGGGUUUGUACAUUUUUUUGUUUUUUCGUUUUAACUGAUUUUUGUACAAUUUUUAUUUAUGCUCAUAAUGCCAUUAAUGAAAUCUAAGCUUCAUAACUUCUUUGGCAUCUAUUUUGUAUUAUGUCCAGAAAUUUAUACGCCCCG
This 2363-nucleotide unclassified non-coding RNA is filed under the name Hevea brasiliensis (rubber tree). Lineage: Eukaryota; Viridiplantae; Streptophyta; Magnoliopsida; Malpighiales; Euphorbiaceae. The record is from RNAcentral.